AGCCUUCUAUUACAGCCAUUUGGAUAUUUGGAGCCCUGGCACCGGUCUUGGAAAUUGGAGUCUGAGUACAAGGUACAGUUGUUAUUUUUAUAUAUAUAUAUAUAUAUAUAUAUAUAUAUUUUUUUUUUUUUAAUUGGGGUAGCCCCCAAAAUAUUGGGAGAUAUAAAAAAAGACAACUCUGUUCCGCAGAGUAGCUGUUGACAUUAUAGUUGCGCAGGAACUUUGUUGACUCUAAAGAAUCUCGGGCAAAUCGCACAUGCCCGUGGCGGCGACUUUGCAUGCGGAUGUCAUCCAUAUCAACUUUUGAUGCCAGUUUCUGCGCCUACCAUCGUGACCAUGGGUAACAGGGAAUCAGGGUUCUAUUCCGUACAGGGACCCUGAGAAACGGCUAUCACAUGCAAGGAAGGCAGCAGGUGUUCAAAUGACCCACUCCCGACGCGGGAAGGUAGUGACUCUUUAGAGGCCCUGUAAUUGUAAUGAGUGCACUUGAAAUCCUUUAACUCUCAUCAAUUGGAGGGAAGUCUGUUGCAGAGCCACUGACCUGUGCGUGCUGCAGCUGAAACUCCAUUAUCGCCUGCUGCUGCUCUCAAAGUCU
Non-coding RNA from Pelobates cultripes (western spadefoot toad), 595 nucleotides. NCBI's taxonomy places the organism in Eukaryota, Metazoa, Chordata, Amphibia, Anura, Pelobatidae. The record is from the annotation of a GenBank genome assembly.